Acanthochromis polyacanthus (spiny chromis) is the source of this 587-nucleotide long non-coding RNA. RefSeq lists it as uncharacterized. NCBI's taxonomy places the organism in Eukaryota, Metazoa, Chordata, Actinopteri, Pomacentridae. The record is from RefSeq and is a predicted model, not a curated record. The transcript has 4 exons.
UCGUAGUAGCACUAACCAGGAGGUCUAGAAGGAGUCAUAGUUCCACUAAUCAGGAGGUCUAGAAGGAGUCAUAGUUCCACUAAUCAGGAGGUGUAGAAGGAGUCAUAGUUCCACUAAUCAGGAGGUCUAGAAGGAGUCAUAGUUCCACUAAUCAGGAGGUGUAGAAGGAGUCAUAGUACCACUAAUCAGGAGGUCUAGAAGGAGUCAUAGUUCCACUAAUCAGGAGGUCUAGAAGGAGUCAUAGUUCCACUAAUCAGGAGGUCUAGAAGGAGUCAUAGUUCCACUAAUCAGGAGGUCUAGAAGGAGUCAUAGUUCCACUAACCAGGAGGUCUAGAAGGAGUCAUAGUUCCACUAAUCAGGAGGUCUAGAAGGAGUCAUAGUUCCACUAAUCAGGAGGUCUAGAAGGAGUCAUAGUACCACUAAUCAGGAGGUCUAGAAGGAGUCAUAGUACCACUAAUCAGGAGGUCUGGAAGGAGUCAUAGUUCCACUAAUCAGGAGGUCUAGAAGGAGUCAUAGUACCACUAAUCAGGAGGUCUAGAAGGAGUCAUAGUACCACUAAUCAGGAGGUCUGGAAGGAGUCAUAGUUC